RNAcentral lists this ribosomal RNA (487 nucleotides) under Microbacterium imperiale. Its description in RNAcentral is "bacterial SSU rRNA". It matches the Rfam family "Bacterial small subunit ribosomal RNA", at positions 33 to 528 of the family's 1533-position model. The record is from RNAcentral. Lineage: Bacteria; Bacillati; Actinomycetota; Actinomycetes; Micrococcales; Microbacteriaceae.
GAUGACGCUGGCGGCGUGCUUAACACAUGCAAGUCGAACGGUGAAGCAGAGCUUGCUCUGUGGAUCAGUGGCGAACGGGUGAGUAACACGUGAGCAAUCUGCCCCUGACUCUGGGAUAAGCGCUGGAAACGGCGUCUAAUACCGGAUACGAGCUGCGAUCGCAUGGUCAGUAGCUGGAAAGAACUUCGGUCAGGGAUGAGCUCGCGGCCUAUCAGCUUGUUGGUGAGGUAAUGGCUCACCAAGGCGUCGACGGGUAGCCGGCCUGAGAGGGUGACCGGCCACACUGGGACUGAGACACGGCCCAGACUCCUACGGGAGGCAGCAGUGGGGAAUAUUGCACAAUGGGCGAAAGCCUGAUGCAGCAACGCCGCGUGAGGGAUGACGGCCUUCGGGUUGUAAACCUCUUUUAGCAGGGAAGAAGCGAAAGUGACGGUACCUGCAGAAAAAGCGCCGGCUAACUACGUGCCAGCAGCCGCGGUANAUACGA